RNAcentral lists this ribosomal RNA (119 nucleotides) under Gorilla gorilla gorilla (western lowland gorilla). Lineage: Eukaryota; Metazoa; Chordata; Mammalia; Primates; Hominidae. The record is from RNAcentral.
GUCUAGGCCACACCACCCUGAACCGGCCCUCUCGCCUCUGAUCUGUUGAAGCUAAGCAGGGUCGAGCCUGGUUAGUACCUGGAUGGGGUUCCGCCUGGUAAUAGCGGGUGCCGUAGGCU